CGGCUUUCAUUCUUCCUUCACAACGUAAAACAUUCACUCAUGUUUACCGUAAUUUAAUUUUGUCGGUCUCUAUUUCAACCCUUCUUUGUGGUUAUAAAUCUUCCAUUUUGUGUUUUCGUUUGAUGCAAAUCUUGGGUUCAAUUCAUCAACUGAUCCAAUGGGAGUUUUUGCUGUUCUUCUGUUUGCUAUUCUGUUUAAUUUGUAUGACCCUUUGAAGCUUUUUCUGAAUCUGUCAAUUCGUCUGCGCUGUCUGCUGUUGGCCUCCGUCGUCCUUGAUGCUCCUCCAGUCUCCUUCUCCAGCCGCUCCACGUCGAGAUAAAGAAGUUGGUGAUGACAUGGUAUUAAGUAAUGCCAUAACAAGGGUUUUGACUGCACAAAAUCUUCAACUCUGCAACUCUUUGAUUGUUCUUCUGAGAUUAUCUUCUUCCUCCUGAUACAUAUUUUCGUUAGUUUUAGGGGGCGCAGGCUUCUCAUUUUCACAGUGAAGAGUCUGAUCCCUUUGGAAUGACUUCAACAAACCAGCAGGCAGAGCUUCUCUUUUCUGUUUAUUUCUCAAAAACACUAGAGGCACAAGAAUUCCUUAAUUAGUACCAAAGCUUAGACGAAAUUGAUAAUAUUAUUGAUUUUUCAUGAAAUCUGAUAUUUGACUAUAUUAGAGACUGAAGUGUGUUGAAGUAUACACGAAUGAGAGAUCAACCACAAAGAAUAGAGUGGAAAAAAGUUGGUAUAAUAUUGUUGCAGUUUAUACGAAGAGUGGCAUAAUACAACUACAUUGUGCCUUUUACAAGCCAUAGUGCACAAACGACCCUUCAAACUUUCACUUUAGCUGUAAUCUAUAGAUCCAGGUGUACCUCUCACGUCUCAUUUUGUUGGUGCUCCUUACUUCAAUGAUGCUGACAUAACUAUUAGAUUAGAUAUACUAAGUACUUAUUUUUGAAGUUCUCUCAUUCUUCCUCUCACUGCUUACAGGGUUUAUCCCACAAGGGAAGAAGGUAGGAUUCUUGAGUUCAUAUAUGGCAGCAACCAGUUCAAAACAAAAGGAGGCUUAAUAGUAGGAACAGCCACAACGCACUAAUAUGCAAGUGAGGAAUUCAAAAUCAAACAGGAGAAGCAUGUUGUCUCUUCAAACUUUACCUUUAUUGUUAUGGUUGGCAUUGCAUCAAUUAAGUUCCAGGGAUCAAGUCUCAAAUAUAAAUUCUAACUUGACAGUUGCAAGGUUUUGGAUUCUCUGCUUCAUAGUCUCAAUAGCUAUCUGCUUGCUAUUCCUCAAACACUUCAAUUGGCUUCGUCCAUGAAUUCUGCAGCAGACCAACCCACGGUGGAGAGGAGCAUUCACACGAGCCCUAUGCAGCAGCUUCGGUGGCACCGCGCGGCAUGUUCAGAUACUCAUAGAACUGGCUUCGGUUUGAUUAUCAGGGAUGUCCAGGGGGAUUUAUUAUUUGCUGCGUGCUACAAACCUCUAAGCAAAUUCAAUCCCACCUUGGCAGAAGCAAGCUGUUUUAGUUAUCAUCAGAGUCAUCUUCUGCACGACCAUCGCAGAUUCUAGCUCCAAUUUUAAUGGGGACGUGACAUCUACACCUGCGCUGAGCUUUGCCCUACCUGCUUUAUUAAGUUGGUAGCAGCACAACAAGAAAGCUAAGAUUAGUUUCACCUUUGAAGGCUAUAGAAGUAGAAGUACUUCAAGCAUGAAUCCAGAAUUAAAGGAAACAACAGGGAGCAAGAGUUUUUGCCAGGUUUGGUGAAGCUUUUGCAGGGGGUGGCAGAGAAAAAAACACUAUCUCCUGAAGCAUUCCACAAAAGCAUAACUGUGGUGAUGAUCAGGAAGUGGGGUUUCCGGCAGCAUAGACAACCAUGUUCCUGCAAGAGCCUGCCAAAUUUGGCGGUGAAAAGAAGAAUGUUCGCUUUACUCUCUUUUUUUGUUUUUUAUUUUUCUCCCUAAAUGUUGAACAGCAGCUGGGUUGACAUUUUCACUAAAGCUAUCAGUUGUAAUCAGGUAUUAUGUCUGAAGUCGCAGCUCUUUGCCGCUUCACAAUUCUCGCUUCUGACAGGAACCUGAAAGUCUCAUGAGGUGGAGUUUUGUGUCCUAUAGAGAAAGAAGAUGAUGAAUUUGAGGCCGUAAUGUUUUUAGUGUGACUCGGGAUAAUUCAUUGGUUUUGCCAUGACUUGAACAUACAUCGACCCCUUCAGGGAGGACUUCUUGGUUACAAAGUCCAUUGCAUGAAAACCUCAAUUGUUCAAGAAUACUUUUUCAGGUCAUAGAGCAUCCUUGAAAAAAGAUGUCAGCUAUAGAUGGAUGUAAUGGGAGAUGCUUGAUUCAUUUAGCAUGCUGCAACUUUCCAAAGGAGCGUGCAUGUUGCAGGGUGUGAGUUCAUUUGUCAAUGGACUGAAAGAUCUUGAAAAGGCAAUUUGUUGAAAUAUAUUUAAGAAAAUAUGCAAUGUUUGCAUUCUGUGAUUGAUAUUGUACUAUUGUAGUUUGACAGUUUCCUAUACUUGCAUUUGAUUUUGAGCUGGGCCUUUUCAACUACUUAUUUUUAGACCAAAUUGUUGAA
Molecule: long non-coding RNA, 2549 nt
Organism: Lotus japonicus
Lineage: Eukaryota; Viridiplantae; Streptophyta; Magnoliopsida; Fabales; Fabaceae
Exons: 11
Source: RefSeq, a predicted model, not a curated record